RNAcentral lists this ribosomal RNA (253 nucleotides) under uncultured bacterium. RNAcentral describes it as "partial 16S ribosomal RNA". It matches the Rfam family "Bacterial small subunit ribosomal RNA", at positions 524 to 776 of the family's 1533-position model. The record is from RNAcentral.
UACGGGGGGGGCAAGCGUUGUUCGGAAUUACUGGGCGUAAAGGGCUCGUAGGCGGCCAACUAAGUCGGAUGUGAAAUCCCCAGGCUUAACCUGGGAACUGCAUCCGAUACUGGAUGGCUUGAAUCCGGGAGAGGGAUGCGGAAUUCCAGGUGUAGCGGUGAAAUGCGUAGAUAUCUGGAGGAACACCGGUGGCGAAGGCGGCAUCCUGGACCGGCAUUGACGCUGAGGAGCGAAAGCUAGGGGAGCGAACGGG